Molecule: long non-coding RNA, 18375 nt
Filed under: Lynx pardinus (Iberian lynx)
Lineage: Eukaryota; Metazoa; Chordata; Mammalia; Carnivora; Felidae
Source: RNAcentral
GUCCUCCCAGUAAUAUGGAAAACUGGGCGUUGGGAACGGGCUCCACUCUUUAGAGUAGCGCUGAUUUCCUCACUGGAAGAGGUUAAGGCUGAGCAGAAAAAGGAUAUAACCUUGUUCUCAGCCACUUGCUAUCUCGGUGGAGACAAGUAGAACUACCCUCAGGCUUAAAAGAAGAAAGCAGACACCCACCUAGGCCCCUGCAGGGCCUCAGAGCUCCCUUCAGUAUCAUUCUCAUUGGUGCUGGAUUAAACAUCUAUUUGCCCUUGUCUGGAUACCGUAUAAUCUUCACAAACUGCAUCAUAGUGACUGGCCUGUUAAUGCAAGUUCUGAAUGGGGUUCUGCAGAGAAAUACAAAGGGCUCCCUAGCCCAUUUUAUUAAAAUUGCUUCUGUUGUGGGUAUACACGGAAAGUAGUAAUGCAUUAUAUUAGCCCAAUAAAGGGACAUAAAAGCUGAGGGAUCUUGGGGUGCUCACAUUGUCUAGGAUUAAUUAAGAGUUCCUCUCUGAAGGAGAGAGGACUUGGGAAUGGGAUUUGAAGGGCAGAGAGAACUUGAGCAAAUUCAGACAGGGUAAGGACACAAAGCGACCUAGGUAGGAAAGAGCAGAUUAGUUGCAUGGGACAGUGAGAUCACUUGGUAGGGUGGGAAGUAGAAGUUAGCGGAGGAGGUUUUUGUACUGAGAUCAGAAUGAGGAUAUGGAUUUGACAGGACAAGUGAUAAAGAAGUCAUUUUGGGUUCUUGAGCAUAGAAAUGAGUGCCUGAGGUCAAUUAUUGGAGCCUAAAAGAUGUCAUAAUGGUUCUUCCCACCAACUCUCUCACCUUUGGUUUAAAACAAACUUUAUUGAUUGAUUUAUCCUUAACAUACAAUAAAAUGCACAGAUCUUAGGUGUUUUGUUUGGUGAAUUUCAACAAUAACAUACACCGAUGGAACACCCCGAACAAGAAACUGAACCAUCACCCCAGAAAAUUCCCUCAUGCCCCUUUAUAUUUACAGUGAACUACCCUGCACCUACCACCACCCACCCCCUGCAACCUCCUGAAUUCUAUCACCAUAGUUUUGUCUGUUCUUGGAUUUCACAUAAGUGCAAAUAGUAUGCACUUUCUUGUGUCUAUAUUCUUUUUUUUUUUUUUUACGUUUAUUUAUUUUUGACAGAGAGAAAGAGCAUGAGUGGGGAAGGGGCAGAGAGAGGGAGACACAGAAUCUGAAGCAGGCUCCAGACUCUGAGCUGUCAGCACAGAGCCCAAUCCGGGGCUCAAACUCACCGAUUGCGAGAUCAUGAUCUGAGCCAAAGUUGGACGCUCAACCGACUGAGCCACCCAGGCGCCCCUGUGUCUAUAUUCUUUAGCUUAGUAAUGUUUUUGACUAAAGUGAGUCUGUUCUUUUUAUUGGAGAGCAAUAUUCCAUUGUACAAAUAUAUCACAAUUUGUUUAUCCAUUCUCCAGUUGAUGUAUAUUUGGGUGUUUCCAGUUUGGGGGCUAUUAUGAGUAAGGCUACUAUAAACUUGUGCAAAUCUUUUUAUGAAUAUGUUUUCAUUUCUAAGAAAGCUCACUUUAUUUUUUUGAAGUAUUAUUAAAAUACAAUCAUAUUAAUUUCAGGUGUACAACAUAGUGAUUCAACAUUUAUAUACAUUGCAAAAUGAUCACCAUAAGUCUAGUUACCAUCUGUCCCUAAAGUUCAUACAAUUUUAUUGAGUUUAUUUAUUUUGAGAGGGAAAGAGAGAGAGCACAGCAGAGAAGGAACAAAGAGAGAGGGAGAGAAAGAGAAUCCAAAGCAGGCCCCGAGCUGUCAGCGUGGAGACCCUUGUGGGACUCGAACUCACAAACCAGGUGAAAUCACGACCCGAGCCGAAAUCAAGAGUUGGAUGCUUGAUCGACUGAGCCACCCAGGCGUCCCAGUUCAUACAAUAUUUUUGACUGUAUUUCCCAUGUCAUACAAUACAUUCUCAUGACUUAUUUGCUCUAUAACUGGCAACUUAAGCCUCUUGAUCCCCUUCACUCAUAUUGCCCACCACCCCUACCCUCUUUUUUUUCUGGCAACUAUCAGUCUGUUGUCUGCAUCUAUGUCUGGUUUUGUUUGUUUUGUUUUUCAGAUUCUACAUGUAUGUGAAAUCAUGGGGGUAUUUGUCUUUUUCUGACUUAUUUCCCUUAGCAUAAUACCCUCAAGGUCCAUGUAUAUUGUCCCACGUGGCAAGAUUUCAUUCAUUUUAUGGCUAAUAUUCCAUUGUAUGUAUAUGGGUAUAUGUAUUGUAUAUAUAUGUACGUACACACACACACACACACACACACACACCCCCCACAUCUUGUUUAUCCACUCAUUUAUCGGUGGACACUUAGGUCGCUCCAUAUCUUGGCUAUUGUAAAUAGUGCUGCAGUGGACACAGUGGUGCAUAGAUCUCUUCAAGUUAGUGUUUUUGUUUUCUUGGAUAAAAACUCCAGAGUGGAAUUGCUGGAUCAUGUUAGUUCUAUUUUUAAUUUCUUUGCGUAAACCUUCAUACUGUUUUCCACAGUAGCUGCACCAAUUUACAUUCUCACCAACGGUGUACAGGUGUUUGCUUUUUUCCACAUCCUCAUCAACACUUGUUAUUUCUUGGUUUUUUUAUAAUAACCAUUCUGACAGGUGUGGGGUAAUAUCUCAUUGUGGUUUCCAUGUGCAUUUCCCUGAUGAUGAGUGAUGUGGAGCAUCUUUUCAUGUGCUUGUUGGUCAUCUGUAGGUCUUUGGAAAAAUGUCCACUCAGACUGUCUGCCCACUUUAUCUUAAUUUUUUUUGCCCUGUUCCCCCUCUUCUGCCUAUUUUAAAUCAGAUUUUUUUUUGUUUUUGUUUGCUGUUGAACUGUAUGAAUUCUUUAUAUAUUUUAGACACUAGCCCCUUAUCACACAUAGGAUUUGCAAACAUUUUCUUCCAUUAAGUUGCCUUUUCAUUUUCUUCAUAGUUUGCUUCACUGUGCAAAAGGUUUUUAGUUUGAUGUAGUCCCGUUUGUUUAUUUUUGCUUUUGUUGCCCUUGCCUGUGGAGUCAGGUGCAAAGAAAUAUUGCUAAGACUAAUGUCAAGGGACUUACUAUGCUUUCUUUGAGGAUUUUUAUGGUUUCAGGUCUUACAUUUAAGUCUUUAAUCCAUUUUGAGUUGAUUUUUGUGUGUAGUGUUAAGAUAGUGGUUCAGUUUUAAUCUUUUGCAUGUAUUGCACAAUUUUCCCAACACCAUUCUUUGAAGAGACGGCCUUUUCCCUGUUGUAUAUUCUUGCCUCCUUUGUCGUAGACUAAUUGAUCAUAUAUGUGUGGAUUUAUUUCUCAGUUCUCAAUUCUGUUCCAUUGAUCUUUGUGUCUGUUUUGUGCUAGUACCAUUCGGUUUUGAUUACUAUAGCUUUGUAGUAUAGUUUGAAGUCUGGGAACAGGGUCCACCUUUGUUCUUCUUUUUCAAGGCUGCUUUGGCUAUUUGGGGUCUUUUGUAGUUCCAUACAAAUUUUAGCAUUAUUCUAUUUCUGUGAAAAAUGUCAUUGGUAUUUUUAUAGUUAUUGCAUUGAAUCUGUAGAUUGCUUUGGGUAGUCUGGACAUUUUAACAAUAUUAAUUCUUCCAAUCCAUGAGUGUGGUGUAUCUUUCCUUUUAUUUGUGUCUUCUUCAAUUUCUUUCAUCAGUCUCUUAUAGUUUUCAGAGUACAGGUCUUUUACUUCCUCAAAUUUAUUUCUAGGUAUUUUAUUCUUUUUGAUGUAAUAUGAAUGGGAUUGUUUUCUCAAUUUCUCUUUCUCAUAGUUUGUUAUUAGGGUUAUAGAAACACAACAGAUUUCUGUAUAUUAAUUGUGCAUCCUGCAACUUCACUGAAUUCAUUUAUUACUCAUUUAUUCUCAUAGCUUUUUUAGUGGAGUCUUUAGGAAGCUCAUCUUGUUGAUAUUUUUGGAAUCUUUUGGCAUUGAUUCUUAUUCAUUCAAUCAUCCAAUAUUUCUUGAAAAGGAAUCAGUGGGCUAGUCCUGGGCUUACAAUAAAAAUUAGACAUGAUCCUUUCCUCACAGGGCUUAAAAAUCCAGGAAAACUCCACGUAUCUAUUACAUUCCACAACCACAGGGUGGAAAAACCUUAAUAGUAUGCCAAGCAUUUCUAACCAUUUGGGGAUGUUUCCAAAUAACUAAAUUUUUUUUUUUAAUUUUUUUUUCAACGUUUAUUUAUUUUUGCGACAGAGAGAGACAGAGCAUGAACGGGGGAGGGGCAGAGGGAGAGGGAGACACAGAAUCGGAAACAGGCUCCAGGCUCUGAGCCAUCAGCCCAGAGCCCGACGCGGGGCUCGAACUCACGGACCGCGAGAUCGUGACCUGGCUGAAGUCGGACGCUUAACCAACUGCGCCACCCAGGCGCCCCCCAAAUAACUAAAUUUUUGAAAAUAAACAAACCAUCUGAAUUUUUUCCUUUUCAUUCAGAUGCUCACCCUCAAAAAAAAAAAAAUGAACAUCUAUACUUGUCACAGCAUGUAUCUUCUCUCCUUACUUAAAAGCUCUUGCACACUUGAAAGUUUAGGCAUUCAGAUUUUGGCAUAUUCUCUAUGCUUCAUAAACCUUCAUCUUCACUGACAGGAGGUUAAAUAAGUAUAAUUAUUAUUACCCCAUGAUCGCUUUCUGUCUUUGAUAGUGCUUAAGGCACUUUGAUUUCUCAGUGGUAUUAUUCAAUUAAAUUAUUACAAAAUAUACAGAAGUCCCAUGGUUUGUUUUCCCACCCUUGUUAUAUACCACUCAUCACACUGUUCUUUGAGUUGUCUGUGUCAUAAAACAAGCUAGUCUCUUGGCCUCUUUUUGCUACAAGCUGCUAGUAAUAAACCAGUAUGGUGGCAUGGUCUAACUGUGCAUAUAGCGCUAAUGACUGACCAGUAGAUCACUGCUCACAUCAGUACUGUGAAUGGUUUUAAGCAGGGGAUUGGCGUAAUCAGAAUUGCAUUUUAGAAAGAAUUCUGUGGUUGCAAUGUGGGGAACAGAUUAGAGAGAGCAAGAGUGAAGUCAAGGAGAACAGAGAGAAAGUAUUUGUUGUAAUUGAGGGGAAAGGUGAGAAAAGAUGUGCUCUGGACUAGGAAAGUGAUAGGGGUGAUGGAGAGGAGAUCACUUCAAGAAAUAAAGUGUAGCAGAGUCAGCAGGUCUUGAGAUUGGAAGGGGAGGAAAGCAGAGAACUAAGCCAAGACUUCCGGACUGAGUAACUUGCAGACCGGACUGAGUAACUUGCAGAUGGCAGGACCACUCACUGAAAUAGAAAACACUGGAGGAAGAGCAGUUUUGGGACAUUAUAUGCUCACUUCCAAACAUGUUAACCUUGAAAUGCCUGGGGGAUGUCCGAGUGGAAAUGUCUAUCCAAGAGGUAAGACCUUCCCAGCUGUUAUGCCUCAUGAAGAGGUUACAGGUGUGCUGCGUAUUGAUUUUCUCAACCCUCAAGGUAGCAUGAACUCCCUCUGAAAGACAGCAGUCUUGGUAAGGUAUGUUGCUAUGAAAACACCAUCAUUCUCUAUGUGUGCCAUGAUCUGGAAAAGGCCGGAAAGUAUUAAUGUGUAAUGCUAUUGGGUAAGUAAUUCUGAAGCUCAGGAGAGAGAUCUAGAUUAGAGAUAAGGGAUUUAUAGGCAUGAGAACAUCAGAACAUAGGUGGUAACUGAAGCCAUGAAGUGAAGAUCAUGUGAGGAGAAGAGGGACUGGAACAGAACCCUAAGGAAUGGCAACAUUAGAGAGGGGCCUCCAGAGAAGGAGGAAGACAGCUGGCUGAAUGCUGUUACCAGAUCCCCAAGGGUUUCCAAAAAAAAAAAAAAAAGUUCCUGAUAAUUCUAAUGUCAGGUUGGAUCAGGAUUGACACAUAUCUGCUGACUUUAGUCACAUCAUUGGGGACUUUGGCAAACCCAAAUUUUGAAGGAUUGAGAAAGAUGUACUAAGUAAGGAAUGGAGACAAGAAGUAUUUAAAAUUUUUUCAAGACUCUUAACUAUACUGUGAGGGAAAAGUUAGACAGGUAGGCGGGGCAACAGGGGAUGAGAAUUAUUUUAGAAAGCUAUUUUUAGAAAGCUACUGCUUAAUUUUAUUUUAAAACGUAUUUAAAAUUCAUUAUUUUUAAAAAGCAUUAUGUGCAUAUGGUUAACAAAUCAACACAGAAGCAAUUAUGUGCUCAUUUCCCACCCCCAACAAUGAGCCAUUUUAACUUUCUGACUGAUUCUUCAUUAUGACUAAAUAUGCUUAUAUGGCUAUUCUUUGAUUUUUCACUUUUACAUGUUUUAUUACUUUCUGUGUAUAUAUUCUUUUUAAAAGGUACAAGAGUGGAAUCUUACCAUUCAUAUUGUUCUGCACUUUACUUCUUGCGCUUAAAAUAUCUGAGACCUUUCUAUUUUAACAUAGAUAGAGCCACCUUGUUCUUUUUAAGAACUGCACAGUAAUCUAUUUAUGGCUCUACCAUAUUGUUUUCUACCGAUGAGCAUUUAAGAUGUUUCCAGCUUUUAAUUUUUAUCAGACAACUGUAAUGGCUAAUACUGUACAUAUAUCUUUGCGUAUUUUUUAAAAGUUUAUUUAUUUUUGAGAGUGACAGAGAGAGCGAGGAAAGGCAGAGAGAGAGAGAGAGAGAGAGAGAGAAAAUCCCAAGGAGGCUCCACGUGGGGCUCGAUGCAGGGCUCGAUGCAGGGCUUGAAGCCAUGAACCAUGAGAUCAUGACCUGAGAUGAAAUCAAGAGUCAGCCACCUAACUGACUGAGCAAUCCAGGCACCUCUAUCCUUGCAUAUUUAUGUGAGCAUAUCCACAGGACAGAUUCCUAGCAGUGGAAUUUGUGGGUAUGUGUAGUUUAUGUUUUGAUAAAUAUUGACAAAUUGCUUUCCAUAUGGUCAUGUUGAUUUACCACUCCCACUAACAGGGUGGAAGAAUACCUGUCUUCCCAGAUUCUCACCAUCACUGUUUAAAGUUUAUUUAUUUAUUUUGAGGGGGGAGGGGCGGAGAGAGAGGGAGAGAAUCCCAAGUAGGCUCCACAGUGUCAGUGCAGAGCCCAACGUGGGACUCGAUCUCACAAACUGGGAGAUCAUGACCUAAGCCGAAAUCAAGAGUUGGAUGCCCAACUGACUGAGCCACCCAGGGCCCCCCCCCCCGCCACUUCUUAGUUUAUUUAUUCACCAUCAUUGUUUAAAAAUUUUGUGAAUAUUGUUGUGACAAAAUAUUCUUUCAUUGUUUUUAUUUGCAUGAAUUAAUAAGAUUAAACAAGUUUUCAGGUGUUUAUCUGCCACUAUCAUUUUCUGUGAAUGUCUUUUCUGAUAGAUGUAUAAGAGUUGUUUGGAUUAUAAUGAAAUUCACCUUUUAUCUGUCACUUGUAUUCCAUAAUGUUUUCCUCAUUGGUAGUUUCUCUUGUGACCUUUUGGAUUUUUUUCUUUGCCUUAGGUAGUCAAAUUGGUCUUUUCCUUGAUGUCUGUUAGGCGUUUUAUAUUUAGAAAGUAUUUUUUAAAAAUCUUUUUUCUCAGGGCACCUGGGUGGCUCAGUCAGUUGAGCAACCGACUUCAGACCAGGUCAUGAUCUCAUGGUUUGUGAGUUCGAGCCCCGCAUCGGGCUCUGUGCUGACAGCUCAGAGCCUGGAGCCUGUUUCCCAUUCUGUGUCUCCCUCUCUCUCUGCCCCUCCCCCACUCAUGCUCUGUCUCUCUCUGUCUCAGAAAUAAAUAAACAUUUAAAAAAUCUUAAAAAAAAUCUUUUCUCUAGUACAUUUAUGGGUUUUCUUUUUACUUUAAAUAUUUCAUCCAGAAUCUACUUAAAUGGCAAAGACCACUGUUAUUUCUCAGUACUGCUCAGAAUGACAUCUCCAUUAUAGACCAUUUAGUCCUAUCUGUUCUCAACGUACACAGCACCUGUUCCUUUGUACCUUUGCUGAAAGGUUCCUUUCUCCUGGCUCACAGGUCAUGCUCCUUUCUCUCUUGUCCAACACUGCAAAAGCUAUAUUCCUUUCAAGAACAGUUCAAAUCCCAUAUCCUCUAGAAAGUCUUCCAUGCCCACUGUAGCCUGCAAAGACUUUCCCUUUGCUGAAGCUCAAAUGAUCACAUGCUUCCUUGUUUGAGCCUCUUCUUUUCUCAACUUUAACAUAGUCGCUAAGCAAAUCAAAUCUAAUUUUUGUUUAAUCUACUUUUUCCUACUACCCAAAGCAGCUAAAAGCACGCUGAGUAUAUGGAAUUUGAUAAAACACUUCUUGAUUUGCCACAAAAGUAUAUGCAUUAGCCACAUGUAUGUAGCUAAUGAGCAUCUGAAAUAUGGCUGAUCCAAAAUGAGAUGAGCUGUAAGUUAAAAUACACAUUGGAGGGGUGGCUCAGUUGGUUGAGUAUCCGACUUCGGUUCAGGUCAUGAUCUCACGGUUUGUGGGUUUGAGCCCCACAUUGGGCUCUGUGCUGACAGCCCAGAGCCUGGAGCCCACUUUAGAUUCUUCCUCUCUCUGCCUCUCCCCUGCUUGUGCUGUCUCUCUCUCAAACAUAAACAAUAAAAAAAUGUUUAAAUACUCAUUGGAUUUUGAAGAUGGUAUAAAAAAUAAUGUAACAUGUCUCAUUAAUAAUAAUAUUGACUGCAUGUUGAAAUGAUAAUUUUUGGAAAUAUUGAUUAUAUAUCUAUGUCUAUAUCUAUAUCAUCUAUAUCUAUAUCUGUAUCUAUAUCUAUUUGUUUUUGUUUUUAAGUUAAAGUAUACCCAGGACCAUUCUCUAUUCUUGUCCCUCAAGGAGGCUCAUCAUGCUUGGUGUUGGCUCCUAAAUGAGGCUGGUUUGAGGAUAAAUAAGAUCUUUUCUAGGAGCCAAAGGCUCUCAUAGGCCAGUAUGCAAUCAUUAUCUUCAUAGUAUCAGGGCCUAAUCUUUAUGAACACUACACAUCUUCUUUGAAAUUAACUGCUACAGACUUGAAAUACAACACUUCCUUUCAACAGGUAGGGUUAAGUGCUCAGCCAAAUGUUAGUAGGGAAAAGGUCAGGUUCAGAUGCUGAAGCAUCUCCCAAAGGUUUUAAUGACUGAAGAUUCCUCAAUGAACCGAACCAAGUAGAUGGAGCCCCUGACUAUCCCUUUGGUCACUGGGGCCAUUUUCUGCUGUCAAGGAGUUAUUUGGCACAGGUGCCACUUGGCUCAUAGCCUAGUCUCAUUGUAGUCAGGAUCCCUGUGUUAGUUUCCUGUUCCUGUUGUAACAAAUCAUCACAAAUUUAUUGCUUUUAAACAACACAUAUUUGGAGCACUUGGGUGGCUCACUUGGUUGAACAUCUGACUUCGGCUCUGGUCAUGAUCUUUUGGUCCGUGAGUUCCAGCCCCGCAUCGGGCUCUGUGCUAACAGCUCAGAGCCUGGAACCUGCUUCAGAUUCUGUGUCUCCUCUCUCUCUGCCCCUCCCCUGCUCAUGCUCGGUCUCUCUCUCUCCUUCUCAAAAGUAAAUAAACAUUAAAAAAAAUAAAACCAAAAUAAAAUGACACAAAUGUAUUCUCUUAUAGUGCUGGAGGCCAGAGUCUAAAAUCAAGGGAGAUUGGCAGAGCUGCAUUCCUUCUGGAGGCUUCAGGGGAGAAUCAUUGUCUUGCCUUUUAGUUAUUUAUUUAUUAUCAUUAUUGUUUAAAUGUUUUAUUUUUGAGAGAAAAUGUGCAUGCAGGCAGGGGAGGGGCAGAUAGAGUCGGGUGGGCUCUGCACUGACUGCAGAGAGCCCGACUCAGGACUCCAACUCAUGAACUGCGAGAUCAUGACCUGAGCGAAAGCUGGAUGCUUAACCGACUGGGGCACCCAGGCGCUCAAUUAUUAUUAUUUUUAAAAUGUUUUUAUUUAUUUUUGAGAGAGAGAGAGAGAGAGCACGCAUGUGUGAGCAAGUGGGAGGGGGCAGAAAGAGAGGGAGACAGUAUCUGAAGCAGGCUCUGUGCUGACAGCAGAGAGCCCAAUGGGGGGGCUCGAACUCAGGAACCAUGAGAUCAUGACCUGAGUUGAAAUCAGAUGCUUAACCGACUGAGCCAUCCAGGUGCCCUCCUUGCCUUUUCUAACUGCAUUUCUUGGCUCACAACCCUUCCUUACAUCACUCCAACCUCUUGCUUCUAUCCUUCUAUUUCUUGCUGCGGUCAAAUCUCCCUUUGCCUCCCUCUUAUAAGGACACUUGUGAUUACAUUUACUGAUAUUCCAUAUUAAUCUUUCAAUUUCAAAAUCUUUCAUCCUUAACCAAGAUUUUUAAUCUAUACAUCUACACAUUUGUACACAUCUACAAAAUCCCCUUUGCUAUCUAAGGUAGCAAGUUCCAGGGAUUAGGAUGUGAACAUCUUGGGGGAACCAUUAUUUAGCCUGCCACAGCCUUACAUUCAUUUCUCUGCAUUACUUUGGUGGAGGGAGAGAGCACCAGUGAAGUCACGAGAUUUCAAAGUAUUCCGGAGAUUUACAGAGAAGUAGGUAAAUUCAUAUCUGUAACCACUGUGAUCCACCAAGACUAUCCUAAACUGGCCUCGUUUCCAUUAGCAAUGAUCACUCCCUCCCAGCAUUGCUUCCUUUAAAAUGCUCUGUAGUGCUGAAGCUGAACUCAUUACUUCCUUGUCCUAAAAAACAAAUUAUCAGAGAUAGUAAGACGUAUGUUUUCUAGAGAUGAGAUUUUUUUUUCAUAAGCGUUGAAUUUAACAAGCAUAGUUGUGGUCUGUGGAAUGCUUAGAGUGUAACAGCACCUUGUUUUUAAUAUUCUAUAUUCUGCAAAAUACCUUUACAUCCUCUAGUUCAUUAAGGCAUAGUUACUUUAGUUGUACCAAUGAAUGAGGUUCAGAGAGGUUGACUUGAACAGGGUGGUCAUGCAAUGAGUUACUGACAGAUCUCGAUUCCAAACCUGAUGUUCUUUCCACUGCACUGUUCCUGGGCCAAACUUGAUCUCAUGGGGCUAAGAAGGAUUUGAGCUCAGGAUCUUAAUACAUCCUGGAAUUGGCCUCAGAAUCCCUACCUCCUAAGCAUGAAACAGAAUGAAACCCACUUUGGGGAGGUCUUACUUUGGGGUCAAAGUUAGGGAUAGAUUGGAAUUUCAGGAAUUCAGGGGAAGGUUAAGGUAGCUGGCAAGUCAGAGAUACAGUGAGAAGGUAAAUAGGACCGAGGGAGAUUUAAGAGUGUCUAUGUCUGCUCUACGUACCUGCCAACUGCUUCUAAAACACUCAGGAGAGGGGCUCCUGGGUGGCUCAGUCAGUUAAGCAUCCGACUUUGGCUCAGGUCAUGGUCUCACACAGCUCGUGAGUUCAAGCCCUGAGUCCGGUUCUGUGCUGACAGCUCAGAGCCUGGAGCCUGCUUCCGAUUCUGUGUCUCCCUCUCUCUCUGCCCCUCCCCCACUCGUACUCUGCCUUUCUCUCCCUCAAAAGUAAAUAAACAUUAAAAAAAAAAAAAGUAGCCAUUCUGAAAUGGGCCAGGGCUACUGCUUUAAAAAAAUAAAAAAAUAAAAAAAAAUAAAACACUCAGAAGGGCCAAGCCUGUUUAACUGGUAGGCAGUGGCAGGAGUGCUCCUCGGAUACUCAACCUAGAAUUAGGUCUGACUUCUGUGAGGGGAUUUCUGUGAGAAUCUGGAAGAGCCAAGAGUGGCCUGGCUGGGUCUCUCAUUCUCCAGUGUGAACACAUAAUUUGAGGAAGCACAGCAACUCUAAAGCCCAUGCUCUCUUGCACUGGCUUUCUGGAGUCUCUUCCCAGCCUUAGAUUUCUCUGACGUCUCAAGGAAUGGUAGCCAAGGCUGACUCUGCCACCUCACCGCCUAGGUUCAAGUCCUAGCUCUGCUUUGGCUUUGUUAUGUUGUCUGGCACAUGGUGCUAUAUGUCUUUUCCCCCCUUUUUCCUAUUUCUUUCUUUUUUUUAAUGUUUAUUUCUAUUUGAGAGAGAGAGAGAGAGAGAGAGAGAGAGAGAGAGAGAGAGACAGUGUGUGAUUGGGGGGAGGGGUAGAGAGAAGACAGAAUCCGAAGCAGGCUCCAGGCCCUGAGCUGUCAACAGAGCCCGGCUCAGGGCUUGAACUCACAAGCUGUGAGAUCAUGACCUGAGCCAAAGUUGGAUGCUUAACUGACUGAUCCACCUGGGCGCACCACCCCCCCCCCCCCUUUUUCCUAUUUCUCACCAGACCUCUUUUGGUUCCUCUUUUCCCCCUUACUCAGUAACUAUUGGCAGCCCUCAGACCUAGGACCUCUCAUCAUAUCCAUGUGUUUUUGGAAUUUACUACUCAUUAAAUCCCGAUUACUCUAUAUGAAUGACUUCCAGAUUUCAUAUCUAGUCUUGAUCUGCUGUCCUCUCCCAAACCAUCAAUAGCCAUGGCCUUGGAAUGGGCAUCUUAUUGCAAAGGUAUGUUUGAGAAAACAUACCUCAAACUUCCAUGCCAAAGACUAGGCUUAUCCCUCUCCCAACUUUUUUUUCUUUUUUAAGUAGACUCCACAGCUGGCGUGGAGCCCAAUGCAGAGCUUGAAAUCAUGACCCUGAGAUCAAGACCUGAGCGGAGAUCAAGAGUCGCACUCUUAAUUGACUGAGCCACUGAGGGGCCCCACUUUCUUAACUUUUUAAUUUCUUCCCAUUUUCAGUUUCCUGGGCAGUCUUCUGCCCAAUCAUAGAUGCCCUUUUCUUCUCAAUACUUGAAUUCAGAUACAUUUCUUUUGUUCAUUCAUAUAUUAAUUCAACAAGUACUUCUCAGCUGCCCGCCAUGUGUCAGUCAUUGUGCUAGGCCUCAAAGUACAAAGAUAAGUUGGGCUUGAGAUCAGUCUUAUGGUGGUGGCACACAGGCAUAGAAAGAUUAUAAUAUGAUAGGGUAAAUACUGUAAUAGAAGCUUCCACGCAAAGGCCCCACUAGAAUACAGUAACAAAUGCAAAGUGCUAUAGGAGUUGGGGGAAGAUUUCUGACAAAAUGUAACAUCUUAACUGUCUUUUAGGACAAACAGUUCAGUCAGGUUGCAAGGUGGGAGAGCUGGGGGAGAGAGAACGAAAAUAGAGGGAGUUUGUGCUAAGUCUCAGAGGUAUGAAAGGACACGGCAUGUAGGAUAUGGUGGUAGGUGAGAAGUUCAAGUGUGACUAGGGUGUGUGGAGGAAAAGCAUGAAGGCCAGCGCUCUCCAACACAACUUUCUGCAGUGAUGGAAAUGGUCUAAAUCUGUGCUGUCCAAUAAAGUAGCCACUAAUCACAAAUGGCUAUUGAACACCUGUAACAUGGCUAGUAAGACUGAGGAGCUGAAUUUUAAAUUUUAUUUCAUUUUAUUCAAUUUACAUUUAAAUAGCAAGCAGCUACCUUACUGAACAACAUUGGUUUAGGCACUGGAUAAAGGACAGGACUCUAGCUCUAGAAAACACUGAAGGUUUAAAAAAAUUUUUUUAAUGUUUAUUUUUGAGAGAGAGACACACAGAGUGCAAGUGGGAAAGGGUCAGAGAGAGAGGGAGACACAAAAUCUGAAGCGAGCUCCAGGUUCUGAGCUGUCAGCACAGAGCCUGAUGCAGGUCUCGAACUCACAAAUGGUGAGAUCGGAACUGAGCUGAAGCCAGACGCUUAACCAAGCCACCCAGGUGCCCCAAAACACUGAAGGUUUUUAAGCAUAAUACUAGCAUAACUAGGAAUCUGAGGAAGGGAACACUGGCAGCAGGGAUUACAUAAGGAUAGAUGGCUUAACACAGAAAUGCCUGGUAGGGACCAGCCACAUGGAUAGAAUAAAUGGGACUUACGUGUUAUUGGACAUGUAAGAAUUUACUGGACUUUGUGACUAUUUCAGUGUGGGGAGACUCACGUAAGCAAGGAGACUCAUCUGAAGUUUGUAGCUUGAGCAAUGGGUGGAUGGCAACAACUGAGAUAGGAUUAGGUUUAGAAUGAGGGUAAUGAGUUUGCUUCUGGAAUAUAUUGAAUCUGAGGUGCCUAAGAACUAUCUAAGAGGAUAUGAUUACAAAACAGGAAAAAUACUAAUCUGCAACUGUGGAAGUGAGGCCACCAAUAUAUUUGGGGGUUAUGAGCAUAUAGGUAGUUGCUAAACGCAUGGGAGUGAAGGAACUCACUCCAUGAAAAAUAUGUAGAAGAGGACUGGAUGGACCCUAAGAGGUCCUAAGCAAUCAAAAUGUGGUCUAUUUUGCAUCAGAGGCACCUGGGGUGGUUGUUAAAAACAGGUUCCUCCUUGUGGAUGUAUUUAACCAUGGAAUUAUACACUUUAAAAUAGUUAAAAUGGUAAAUUUUGUUACAUACAUUUUACCAUGAUAAAAAAAUGCAACAAACAAAUAAACCCAAACAAACAACAAACCCUCCCACAAAUCUAAUCAAACCAAACCAAACCAACCCUCAAGCCCCAUUCUUAACCUGAAUCACUGUUUCUGGAGAUGAAUCCAGGACUCUCCAGGUAACGUGUUCAAUUAAAAUUUGAACUAACUGCUUAAAGAGUACAUAAAAACUAAGAGAUAGGAAGAGAAUAAAGGGAGAAGGGUAUGGUGAAGAAACCAGGGAGAGCAGUUCAAAGGGAUCAAUAGUGCUGAAUAGUCCCAUGACCCAGGAGGAAGACUGAACAAGAGGCCUCAGAAUUUGGCAUUCAGAAGGUCAUUGAUGAAUGGGAAAUAGACUGUGGAGUCUAUUCUUUCAAGGGCUUUGCUCACAUUUGGUGGUGAAGAGAUGGAGAGACUGAAUAAACUUGAAGAGAGAUCGGAUACAGGAAAAGUUGGUGGUUUUAGAGAGAGAAUUGAGCACAUUGGCAGGUGGACAGGAAGGGGUUAAUGAAGCCAAGGAGACAUCAAAGGGAUCCUCAAUAAAGCAGUUUGGGAGAAGUAGUAGAGGUUGGGAUCAGGAACUCAGGCAGAGGUUAUCUGGGUAAAAGUUCAUUGGGUAAGUUCAGAAGUGAAAAGGUGGAAAGAUGAAGGGGUUUAGGACUGAAGGCAACUGUCCCUGGAUGGCUCAGUUAAGAGUCUUACGCUCAGGUCACGAUCUCACUGUUUGCGAGUUCAACCCCACAUCAGGAUCUCUGCUGUCAGCUUGGAGCCUGCUUGGAUCCUCUGUCUCCCUCUCUGCCCCUCCCAAGUUCACGCUGUCAAAAAAAAACAGUAAUAAUAAAACAAAAAUUAAAAAAAAUAAAAAGACUGAGAGCAAGAAAAGACUUCCUGAUACAGCAAACAAGAAUGGUGCUGGUUGGUGGUUAGGUCAUCUGCUUAGACUAGUGGUACAGGGAUAUAGAGUCAAGAACCUGCAGAAGGGUAAAAGUCCACAAGAGUCACUAGGAUGAAAGUGAUCAGGAGCAGGAAUAUAAAAAGAUUGAAAAGUAGUACUGGAGUCUGAGAUUGGAAAUGACACCAACCACAUAAUUAUCCUGCACAAAAUAGAAAAACCGGUUUUCCUAAAUGAAGGUUUUGGUUCCACUCUCCUAUCGUUUGGGGAAUGUACUAGCUUUUGCUCUCUAUGCAUAGAGUUCAAAUUCCCUAGCAGGAACUUUUACUACCUUCUCCACCAAUAGGUCCAAAGUUUAAUUGGUGGUUCAGACACUCUUAUCCCCCAGCCUUCCUUCUAUAACUUCAGAAAAUAAUAGGAUCUUAAGGAUUUUGAAGCUCAUCAAUCCAGUCGCCCUUCUUAGCUAGGUAUAUUUUGUUUUCCUAUCUUCUCUCCACCAAAUCCUUCUCCAUCUCCCACUUUCCCUUGGACUCAACUCAUGGGUGUCAAAACCUGACAGAUAUCAGUGACGCCUAUCCCACAGCAUUUAUGCUAUAGUCAUUCAAUUGUAGACUGCAUUUUAUGCCUGUUUCCCUGCACACAUUCCCACUGCCUUNNNNNNNNNNGGUGGUUCAGACACUCUUAUCCCCCAGCCUUCCUUCUAUAACUUCAGAAAAUAAUAGGAUCUUAAGGAUUUUGAAGCUCAUCAAUCCAGUCGCCCUUCUUAGCUAGGUAUAUUUUGUUUUCCUAUCUUCUCUCCACCAAAUCCUUCUCCAUCUCCCACUUUCCCUUGGACUCAACUCAUGGGUGUCAAAACCUGACAGAUAUCAGUGACGCCUAUCCCACAGCAUUUAUGCUAUAGUCAUUCAAUUGUAGACUGCAUUUUAUGCCUGUUUCCCUGCACACAUUCCCACUGCCAUACUGAUGUGUACCCCCCACCCCCAUGUUGGUGUGCUUUGGCAGAGGACGCUGACAAAAAAAAGUCCUAAAUUAACUUACUCUCUGGUAUGUUUUCUGUUCUGAGCUUGGGUGAGGUUCUUUUUCUUGAGCUGAAAACUCCCUGGAUAGAGUGGUUAAAAGCAGAGGUUUCCUACCUACCCCAGAGUCACAGGACAUUCUCAAUCAUACUCAAGUCACUUUUAUUAUAUAUAACUAUACAGUCCCACUUCAUUCAUUGUAUUUGUAUCAGCUGGAUAUUGGGUCAUAAUUUAAAUCUUUUAAACAUCUUAUAAAUGCUAGCCAGCGCAUUUUGGCUAGUAUCUGUUACAUGCUGUGCUGAGCCUGGGCAUGUUGGAUACAUGACCUGCUCUGGAAAGAUAAGAUGUUUUUCAUACUAAUUCUCUCCUUUAGCCAAGCCAGUGACUCUUCAUUCCAGAUUGUAUUGUGAGGUGCUGCCUGAAGGCAGGAUAAGGAAGUCCAGCAAAAGCCUGAAGAAGCCAGAUCAGAUUCAAGUUGCCCAUGGAACAGAUACAUUCUAAGGCUAGCCUGGGCUAAGUCUCUAACCACUAGAAGCAGCCCCCUCCAUAUCCUAGAACCAAGAUCACUCUUUCUAUGCCAUUUCAAUCCGGAGAGCCCAGCUCAUUGCUCCACAGAUACAGUCUCUUCUUCCAGAAUCAACUCAAACAGUGGGGAAUAGAUACUGAUUCUUUCAAUUGCAUGUCUUGGACAUUUUGCCAAAAGUUUCUGCCAGGUUUUGAGGCUGCCUUACAAUCAUGAAUUAAGGACAGUGAACUUAAUUCUUUGUAUAACACUCUUUCAAUAUCUCUUCCCUGGCCUUCCCACCCUCCCAUUUCACUGUCUCCAGGAUCUUAAUCUGUUCUUUUCUUUCCCUUCGUCUACCAGUGAUUCAGGAAUUGGAUGAGUCUCUGUGGCUUGUUUUGCCCUGAAGAGCAGAAGGCUUCGGUCCCAGCUGGUGUUGCCAAAGCAGCAUACUAAUUCCAUGCCAUGGUCCUGGGUCAAGAUCUGCACAAUCUGAUUGGCCAUAUCACCUCGGAUGGCAAGGGAACGGAAGUGGUCAAAGUCAUGGAGGCCCAGCUUCCGGAGACGCCUUGCAGCUGCCCGGUAACACUUCCAGGGCUGAGGCUCCACAAGGAGGUAGCGGCAGAGGGAGGAAAGGUGGGCUAGGAACUCCCACAGACCACGGUCCCCAUGGUUCAGAUGAAUCCACAUGGUUACUGACAUGCAGAAGCCAAUGUCAAAAACUGACCGUCCAAACUGGUUUAAGAAAGAGCUCAAGAGAACUUUCCGGGUUCUUUGAUUCAUAAAGUCCAGGGUGAUAAAGGUCAGGGCAUCAGGAAAAGGACAUUCUUUUUCAGCUCGUUCCACCAGGACUGGAUCUAUGUCGCAGCAGAGUAGAUGGAGUUCUCCUGAGGCAUCUGAGCAGGUCUCCCCAUCACGUAAGGAAAGGAAGUGUUUGUAUAGAGCCACACUCAGAUCCUAGAGAAAUCCAAAAGAGCUUUGUCAUUGCAGCUCUCAACCAGUGAAUGGAAGAAAGACCUCUAUCUCUUAUCAUCUCAUUGGACUGCCACUUAGUCUUUGCUUUAUAAGAUAUGAAGCUCCUAGACUAAGAAGGUUGCCCAAAAAGUUUUCCACAGAGCAGGUUCUCAGUGCCCUCCACGGGUCUCAGGCAAUAAUGUGUCAUCUCUAUACUUCCCUGACAUUGAUGGUAGGUUGGGCUGUAUGGCUGAAAGUUACAGCCAAAUGGAUGCAGCAAAGGAGCUGAGAGCAGUCUUGUCCAGCUUGAGUAAUAUGCUGGUAAACUCACUUUUUUCAGGUAUCUCAGAUCUCAGGGAGAAAGAAAGGAUUCCAAGUGCAUAGCCAGCAUUCCUUACCAGGAAGGUGAGGAACCAGAACAAGCACCAUCUUAUAAACAUCUGCUUCUCAGACUUGUGAUUGGGAAAAGUCUGGAUUCCAAAAGUCCUCGCUUAGCCUUCAUUCUACAGCCUCAAUUUUACUGUCUGCCUUAUGCUUCACCACCCCCUUUUGAGAUUUAUUCUACUUCUGCAUCUAUCACUUCCCAAAGUCAUUGCUGACUUCCUUCUAGCCAAGUCUAAUGAUCUGUGAUUUUCACCACCUCAGCACUUUGACUCCUAAACAAGUCACUAUCUCCUUUGUCUAACAUUGACUUCUAUAACCAUUACAACUAGUUCAAAUUUGUGUUGCUCUAAUCCAUUUUUCAAGGCAUUUUUCUAUGCACCACUUGUUUUGCUCUGUGCAACAAUCCUGUAAGGAAAAUGCUUAUGCUCUUUGUACAGGUGAAGAAAGUGUGGCUGGAAACAACCCAGAUGUCCAACAAUAGUAGCAUGGAUGAAGAAAUGUGGUAUAUUCAUUA